GAAGAACGCUGGCGGCGUGCCUAAUACAUGCAAGUUGAGCGCUGAAGGUUGGUACUUGUACCAACUGGAUGAGCAGCGAACGGGUGAGUAACGCGUGGGGAAUCUGCCUUUGAGCGGGGGACAACAUUUGGAAACGAAUGCUAAUACCGCAUAAAAACUUUAAACACAAGUUUUAAGUUUGAAAGAUGCAAUUGCAUCACUCAAAGAUGAUCCCGCGUUGUAUUAGCUAGUUGGUGAGGUAAAGGCUCACCAAGGCGAUGAUACAUAGCCGACCUGAGAGGGUGAUCGGCCACAUUGGGACUGAGACACGGCCCAAACUCCUACGGGAGGCAGCAGUAGGGAAUCUUCGGCAAUAGACGAAAGUCUGACCGAGCAACGCCGCGUGAGUGAAGAAGGUUUUCGGAUCGUAAAACUCUGUUGGUAGAGAAGAACGUUGGUGAGAGUGGAAAGCUCAUCAAGUGACGGUAACUACCCAGAAAGGGACGGCUAACUACGUG
RNAcentral lists this ribosomal RNA (497 nucleotides) under uncultured bacterium. RNAcentral describes it as "partial 16S ribosomal RNA". It matches the Rfam family "Bacterial small subunit ribosomal RNA", at positions 28 to 507 of the family's 1533-position model. The record is from RNAcentral.